AGCGAAGUAGCUGAUUUCACACUGUCAAGAAAAGUCUCUAUCGAGGUUAAAGGUACCCGUACCGCAAACCGACACAGGUGGGUGAGGAGAGUAUCCUAAGGCUAGCGAGAGAACUGUUGUUAAGGAACUCGGCAAAAUGACCCCGUAACUUAGGGAUAAGGGGUGCCACCAUCAGGUGGCCGCAGAGAAUAGGCCCAAGCGACUG
RNAcentral lists this ribosomal RNA (205 nucleotides) under Clostridioides difficile. RNAcentral describes it as "partial 23S ribosomal RNA". It matches the Rfam family "Bacterial large subunit ribosomal RNA", at positions 1584 to 1802 of the family's 2925-position model. Lineage: Bacteria; Bacillati; Bacillota; Clostridia; Peptostreptococcales; Peptostreptococcaceae. The record is from RNAcentral.